This 10352-nucleotide long non-coding RNA is filed under the name Xyrichtys novacula (pearly razorfish). Lineage: Eukaryota; Metazoa; Chordata; Actinopteri; Labriformes; Labridae. The record is from RNAcentral.
GGAGUAAAACACCUCCCUUACCACCCACACAUCCACCCACCUCCCCUCCACCCCCCUUUGUUUUCUUUAUCAUUCCUCUGACACAAUGCAAUGUCUUCACAUCACAGCAUUUUUCCAAUGGGAAUUUGGGGAUGGCGUUGUUUAAACGUCGCGGCCGGCUUGGACAGGCUAGGGUUAUUUCUCAUUUAGUAAAGAUCACAGACGCUGUAAAUGCUCCGGCGGCAUGCCGUGAAUGCCAACACCAGCAUGAUUGGCAGCUUGACGGCAGCGGCAGCAUUUGCAUGGCAUUUAGCUGGGCGGGCGAUGGCCACCCCUAACACCAAGGUGGGUAAAUAAGAUGACUUCUCUGUUCACACAAUGUACACAUGCACAAACACACACACGCUUUAUGCAAUCUCGCUUCUCAACAACCCCCAGCCAUCUUGGCCUGCCAGACCUAGAGUCAGUCAUAAUUGUGUGGCAUUUAGGCUGAGGAAAGGGACAUGGAGGCGUGUGGGCGACUGGACCACUGAAAAGUCUGAGCCUCUUCUUUAUUUGAGGCUGUUGUUUGAGAAUGAUUACCUGUAAUUUCCCUGAGCUUAAAAAGGUGGACUUUAAAUAUAAAUGUAGGGUUGGACCGAGCUUGCAUAUUGGUGUUGAAUAAAAUGUUUGUAAAUGGAAUUCAGGCACUUCGCUUAGCAAGAACAUAUGAAAUAUCUUCAUACUCGUAAAUAACCUGAAUAUUUAAGAUGCACCUUUUUUUACAUCAACCUACAACCACAGUUUAAAGCGGCAGGGAUCAAUGUUUUAGAUCAAAUGAUGGGCUGUGUGUAAUGGCAGGAGUUUCUAGUAGUGUUAUCCAGUGCACAUUAUAAGAUAAUGAAGCAGGUUUUUGGUAUAAUUCCUCCCUCUCCACAAUCUCUCCACAAAAGUCAGCAGGGUCCUGAUCUUUUUUGGAUGAUUGAGUUGUGACCAGCUUGAUCUGGUGCUCAUACAGUGUGUGAUUUUGUUUUGGUUCACACAGUUGUUUGUGUUUUUCUCAAGGGAACAAAAAGAGAAAUGAACUAAUUUUGAUAUUUCUGCUUGGAAUAUACAAGAGAGAUUUAAGUUUGAUGUAUGCUGCCAUUAAAAAAAUUGUCUGAGGAUCUAACUUGUAUUCUGAAUGUGCAGGACUCUAUCUCUCGAUCUUGCAUUUCGUUGAAUUAUUUAUUAGUUCAGUUGUGUAUUCCCAGCUUAAAAACAAAGUGAUCAACAGCCCUGGAGACUGUGCAUGUACUGGCACACUAUUCUCUAUCCAGACAGUACAGUUUGACAUGUUGCAGGAUACUGCAUAGAUAACUUCUUUUAACAAGCUUAAACACAGCACAAGUAGUAGCAGCUCUCCCUCUGGUGGAAUCAAUCAAAUCUAUUUGGGCUUCUCACCUUCUUUGUAUUAUCAGGCUCGGAUAACAGCCUCUAUGAUCCAGUGGUGCAGGUACUGUUUAGACAGUUGCUUCCUCUGGACAGGACAAGCAGUGCAGGCAAACAUCUGGUUGCAUAAGCACAAGCUGGCUGGGGACAGCGAGCACAGAGCAUCUAUCCAGUGGAGGCAGAAGUAUGAAGGGAAAAGAGCUUUAAACAGCUAACAACUGAUGACGAAGCUUCAGUGCAGAGCCCGCGGUGCAAAAUGAAAGUAGUGAAUGCCGCCUAUAAAGCCUGCUACCUAUUUUUCUUUUUGAGAAGACAUUUUUAUUGAAGAUAUAAAAAUUGAAAGGAUAAAUAUUAAACCAUGAAUAAAGGAAUAAACAUCAAUAGUAUCUUAAUGCGAAAUAUCUUCAGAUCUGAAAAUGCACUUUUUCAAACUGGAAUAGGAGCUAAAAGAAGACUUAAUAACUCAAACACAACACUUAAGGUAAACAGACAGAGAUGCACAAGAUACUGCAAACUCCCACCUAUUAGAUCCAAACAUAUUACCUGAAGAAAGUACGUGUCCUUGCAUCUUUUAUUCAUAGACCCUUCCAGUAAUACUUGUAUUGAGAUAUGUCUCUGAUUUGUAAGUGUGGAAAUGAUAUUUGGACAAAAUAAUACCAAUAGAUAAUACCAAUAAUGCACCUCAAGAUAAUUGAUGUCUUUUUCUUUUUUUACUUUAAAAAGAAACAAGGUGUACUCAUAGUGGCAAACCAUCUCCUUUUGAGCUCAUGUGACAACCUUGAUUGCAACAAUUUACACAUCAAGCAGUUGCAGAACAGCAUUUCACGUGUGAAAUCAUUUUUUCUUUUUAAUGUCCAUCAGUCUAUGAUAGGUUUAUCUGACACUGGAGUUGCAGUUUGCUCCACUUUGUUCAAUGGCGUGUUACUGACUUGUUGUUCAGCUUUGUGGAUUUUUUCCCCUGUGUUAUUUAUAUCAUUCUGUUAAAAAAGAAAAUCUUAACAGCAGUCACUGUGAGGCAAAAACCUCACAUUUGCUGAUAUUGAGUAAAGACACAGGAAAAAUGAGUGAAGUGAUUAUAGGAACUGAUGAUGGAAACUGCAAAAGAUAGUCAUUGUGCCCAUUCUUAUUCAAGGAUCUUCAAAAAAUUGAAUAUUUGUCAUGCAUUUAUUUAAAAAAACAUUUACAAGAUGGCUGUUACUAAACUUGGUGUGUUUUCAAUCAAAACAAUUUUCAGCUAAAUUAGCUCCUUGAAUUGUUUUGUAUCAUGUUGUAUUGUGUGGUUUCUCAGUAAGAGCUUGUUUAAAUCAAAAUAAGCUCUUGGGUUUGAAUGUUGGAUCCCCCCGGCAAACUUUUGUUGGGUACCCCUCCAAGUUUUCAUUAUAGUAGAGGAAGGUCAACUACACAGUCUAUUUGACAACCUAGUGAAGAGCCCCUGAGCCUAAAACAUUUUUACUAGUACACUUAAUACUUGAAGUAUACUAAAUAAUACCACAGGAAAAUAAUCGAGGUUACUAAAUCAGCAUUGUUUGAUAGACGUGACCUUUUCAUUCCUUAUUGUAGUGUUUUAUAGUGUGAUAUGUCAAUGUGCUCAUGGACCGAAUGGGUGUUUCUUGUUGCGAUGGUUGUACUUUCAAAGGGAGUGAUAAGCAAUUAAGACAAGCUAUUUACAUUUCUUCCUCUUCUUUACUUCAUUAACUCUACUCUGAAGACAUCUAAAUUGAAAUCACUGCACAUUCACUGACAUAUAUUGUCCUACCCCCAGAGCAGGAGAUGUGUUUAUAUGUCACAAGUCAUAUUAACCUCUCCAAGUCAUCUUAUUUUCUAAUAUUUUACCCCACUGCAGAGCAAUCACACGCUCACAUUUACACACCGUCCCUCAACUUUUAUUCACCCGAAAUGAUUCUGAAAUGACAUUACGGGUGACAGCCAGGCAAUAACAAAAGUACAAAAACUUCUUUGAAAAACAAUAAAUCAAUAAGCCUCGCCAACAUAUCCUGUUACAUCCCCGACUCCUUGACACCUGGAGCUCAUUAAACACAGCCUAACGUCAACUUAGAAGAAGGAGAGUACACAGAGGCCUCGCCUUUUCACAGCCUAUCACAAUAAGAGCUGCUGAGCAACCUUGAUAUAUUGUAUAUACUAGAAAUAAAUAUGAUUGUCCUUUAAUCUGAUUUUAUUAUACUGGGGACUCCCGCUGGCAAAUCUACUGAGGGCUGAUAGCCGGUAAUCUUAUUGCAGGGAGCGCGCUGUGUUUCAUAUCCCCUUCUUGAUGGUGUUUUAUCAUGUCAGGGCUAUUAUUGUUCCUAUUGGUGUAUGUGUUUCUGCAUUUAUAUGCGCUGGUGUAUACAACCCAAUAAAUCGAGUUAUUGCACAUUCUUGAGCGUCUGUUUCUGUUUGCAUAUGUACGUGUGCAUGUUUGCGUGCACCCUGAAGUCCCUCCAGCUCGGAUGUGGGUGCUAAUUUUUGCCCCCUCAGUGUGCCGGGCUGCUUUGAGGGUUCCUCUCUGUUUAUGAACCGAGCAUAUUGACCCAAUUUGUGGCCUUGGAUCUCACCCCCCACCCCCUUCUUUUUUCUUUUUUCUCUCCUCUCGCUCUCCCUCUGCCUCUCUCUCUCUUUGUCCACCUGCUGGGGCAUAUUGUGAGCCUGCACCACUGUAGAAGCGGGUUCACUCAGACUGAACUAAACGCCACACGCAUCAUUGAGCAGCAUUACCAAGCUCUCCCCGCUCAUCACUCUCAGUGGAUGCUGCAGGUGUGUGUGUGUGUGUGUGUGUAUGCAUGUGUGUGCUGUACAGUAGAGGGCUCAGUUAACUGAAAGGUCUUAUAAAUCAACCUGUCUGUUCACAACCUCUUACCUGUUCCGCUCUCACUCCCCCUUCUUAUCCUUACACCUCCUCUUUCUCUUGUUCUCCCUCCAUCCCGACCUCCACCUCUCUCCUUAGUGUUGUGCAAUCCGUCUUUUAACACUCCUGCCUCCUGAUAAAUCACUGUCUUGGAGCAGGUCAGGGGGAACGUGGCCCUCUACAGAUUUGUCACAUCUAUGCAUUAGUGUUUUGACUUCAUUUCAAUGCACUGAAUCGCCACGGUGAUUUGAAACUUUUUCAGCUAGUGUGUAUUUGUGUGCAUGCAUGUGUCACAGGUAUUUGUGUGAAUGCAUGCACUACAGUAUGCAAGUAGUGACUGCAGGUUCUGGCCAGUACUGAUCUCCUUGUCCUGCUGAAUGGUGGCUGAUUGAGACACAUGGACUGCCUUUGUGCUCUGAUCUAGUUGUCAUUGAUUACCUAUCAAGGUUUUUGAUUGCAUCCUGGAAGUAAUUCUUUUAAAUAAGCCCUAAUGGCCUCAAAUCUGGGCUGAUGACGACCUUGGAGAGUCCAAUUGUGGAUCCAUUUAGGCCCUUUCAGACCCCUCGAUGUACGCUAUGAAACUCUGGCUCAUAGCUCACUCCCCCUCCUCUACACCACUCCUACAACCUUUCAGCCUCAUGUCGUGCCAGUUCCACAUCAAUACGCUCUGUUACUUGCAUGCAAGAACACCCUGACAUCGAAAACCUGCUUUUAACUUGGAUGUAGAGAUCCUACACAUCACUUAUAGCACACACAGGUCUCGAUACAGAUUAGAGGCGCUGAUUGUGACAGCAGGUGAUCUGGCUAGAUGAGGGAGACAGCAAGGAAGAUAACGCAGACGCAAAUAAGAGUGUAAUCCUGCUUUUAACUGAAAAAGACAAAGUAAGUGGGUGAAAGCCCAGGUUUUGAAGAGAGAAGGAAACGAAACGAAACCAGGAAGAAAGAGGAGGGAUGACAGAUCUGUUAGGGAUGAGGAGGAGGGUCGUCAGUAUGUCAGGCUGUGUUAUUAUAGUCUGAGGGCUGGAUGGAGGCAUGAGAAGGAGGACGAUGAGGAGGGGAGGGGUUGCAGCAGACAGGAAGAGGGCUCGCCGUCUAAUCCUCCAAUUUUCCUACAUUACUGUUCCCCUCCUCCUCCUCCUCCUCUUCCCCUCCUCUGUCCAACUCACCCCCCUUCCCCUCCUCUCCUUUCCUGCUGCCAGACCUGUCGACAAAUGAAACUGGAGAUAGCGGCAGCUUCACAGAGAUUGACUCGAAGGAGUAAAACACACAGAGCAGACAGAGAGGGAGACAGAGACCUCCUGCUCCUCUAACAACAUAAAUGUACCUUCAAAACCCAAGUGGCUUUGUCAUCUGUUGUUCUUUGCUGGACUAAAAAACAUAAAUCUAUACCAAGCCGGUGCCUACAUGUGCUUUUUGCAAACUUUCCUCCACUUAACUUAAACGGCAAACCCCAGCGGUCCAGCAGGGGAAGGAUAAUGCACCUACUGAUUGCAGAGAAAAUGCUGCGUCUCGUUGUGAAAGCGGCCCCUGAGUUUUGAUCCCUAACUUCCUGCUGAUUGGGAGACAAAUCUGAUGACAGAAUUAUAAAACGAUGAGAUUGUUUCACACAAGGAAUGUUUGAAAAGCUUACUUAGCAGAAGUAAAAAGCAAAGCCGACAAACAAGGUUCCUCAGCCAGACAAAGCUGCUUGUUAACAUACUAAAUCUUGUUUGUUCAUGGAUUUAUUGACACAUCCUUCCUUGGAUUGAAUCUUUAUUUUUAUUUAAAAAUACUCCAGCCCCGCUUGUUCUGGUCUCUGCUUAGCGAAUCACUGCUGUUGAUUAAAUCUGGGCUUUAAGAGUUCCUAAUAAGGCUGACCUUUAGAGGGAUGAUAAAUACAAUUAGAACUAUGUUAAUACUGUAAAAGUUGAUUUUCUUGGAAAACAAAAUCUGUCUCAACGGCACAAGGCACCACUCUUGAAUCUUUUCCUCUCAUGUGAAGGCAGCUGAUAAAAGCUAACUGCUCCAAACCAACUCCCUCCAACUCGCCCCAUCUUAACCUUUCUUACUUUUCCUGCUAACAAGCCGAUGUGACUUUCUAAUUACUUUCACCGCAAAGGUUUUCACAAUAUUCUUAUCCUGGUCUCUUCACCAGUUUUUAUGAUUUCCAUGUCCCGCCCUCUUGAUUGAUUUGCAUUCCAAUCACUUCUCAUUGGGCGAGGCAGAACCCUGACUGAGUGGGACUAAUUUGCCAUGCUAAUGAGAUGGCUCCGACAAACAGAGCCAGCUGGAGACCAGAGUAAAUGAUCCUGUCAUCAGUCAAGAACACAAACAUGGCUAACAGCUAAUUAGCUCGCGGCAGUUUGUAGAGGUGACAUUCUAUCUGAUCUGUGCCGCAGUGGAAAAGAAGACCAAAAAAAAGAGGACCGGGGAACAAUAAAGGAGACAGGAGAGAGGAGGAGGGGAGGUCUCAACCCAGUGAUGAAUAUCAAUUUUUGUGUUUGUCCAAACACACACUUUUGUGGCAUUGGAUGCAACACACACACACACACACACACACACACACACACACACACACACACACACACGGAUGCACAUCUAUAACUUCCCCCUGCAUUGUGCCGUUGCAAUGAAGAUAAGAGUGAGUGUGUGCCAUCAGUUUGAGGGGAGAAAAUAUGCUAAGCAGACAAUCAGAGGUGUACCCCCCGGCGCUAAACAGCCAAUCAUGGCUGUCCCAGUGUGUGUCGCCAGCCAGCAGGAGGCAGAAUUAGUCCUGGUUAGCAGCCAGAGCCCCGCCGAGUGGCUGAUUAGUCUUUUAGACUGAGGAGGAGACAGAAUGUUAAAAGUCCAACCGCCUAUCCCAGACAGCUCUGCACACAAGACAAAGGCCAUUUUAUCCUGAAAAGGGAAGUUAGCAGCCCUAUUGUUGUCUCAUGAAUGCAAUACACUCAACUGAACAAUAUUGACUUACAGUGGGGCUACGCACACGCUAUUUUGUGAAUUAUUGUGAAGAUUACAGGGCAAACUCUGGGGAGUUUAGGUGGAGUAUAAGCCUUUGUCGAUGUAUUUGUGCUAUUACAGGCAUAAACCCACUGCAUCCAUCAAUAAUGUCUGCAAUGGGCGUUAAUGUAAUCUUGCACAGGUUAUCUUGCAAACAUGGAGGCAGGCUUUAUUCGUUUGUGUCAGAUAACAUGUACCUUAUGAGCUACACUAAGCUUGAAUUUACAAGUUCAAGAAGCUUUUUAAUAAUGUAUUUAUCUGUCUAUUUAUCAACAAUUCUAUCUGUGUAAGAACUGACAUUUCACUUUGGCACAUAAUGUGUAAUAAUGCAUCAUAAUAAUAAUCAUAAUAUUGAUAAUAAAACAGUGAUGGCAAAGAUUGUCAUACAAAUAUGAUACAAUAUGUCAUAAAAACCCAGAACUUUCAUUAGGAAGAUUGUGGUUUCUGACCAACAUGAGGCCAACUUCAAAGUUACAGUUUGACACACAAAGAGGAAUUUACUUUCUUUUUGUUGAGAUGUAUUGACAUGUUUUAAAUGAUACUAUAUGGUUUUUGUGGACCUAACCAGUUUUUGGUGCUUUAAAGCGAAACGUUGUUCCAUUCUUGCCUGAAAUUUGAUUCUCAACAAUUGCAGAUCCUCUUGCCAAAUGCUUUUAAUAGGUGACCAGUUGGCACUACAAACAGGCCAGUUCAGCACCCAGACUCUUCUACUACAGAUCUAUACAACACAUGUUGUAAUUGUCUUGCCAAAAUAUGCAAAGUCUCCCUGUAAAAGCUUCUGUCUGAAUGGCAGCAUAUGUUGCUCCAAAACCUUUAAAGAUCAGAGUUUCCAUGAUUUCCAAAAAGAAUGUCAAAUUUAAGACUCAGCCUUCCUGGAGUGCUCUUUUUGUACCCCGUCACAUAGUUAAUCUGUUGCAAAUGAAUGUAAUGGGUUAUUAGUUUGGUGAUGCCCCUUCAGGUGAUUUCUUUUCAGCAUUUUACAGUUUGUUUUUGGUUCUGAAAUGUUCAUUAUCACACAGGCUUAUGCACCCUCUGGCCUUUACUGGUGUUGAGCCUGUCUGGGACAUUUUAAAGGUCAUGGCAGCUGAUGAGGAGCUGUUUAAUUGCCUGAUAACAUCAAAGAAAAAUAUAAACACAGGGUCAGGACCUACAGUGUUGUCCUGAUUGAUGCAAAAGUGUAUCUUGUUGGCACCAAAUAAUAUUCAAACUCACAGUAAAAAUCAAAUUUCCUGUCGGUACCCCCUGUCUCCUAGUGGCACUUGUGACACGAUGUAUCAUUCAUUAUAUGGUUGCCUUAUCAUCAUUAAUGUGGCCAUGGAUUGAAUAUUCUCUCAUUUUGAUUCCCACCCAUAAUAUUUAGUUUAUACACACCAGAGACUAACAGUUUACUGUGACCAAUGACACCAUCUCCUGUGGCAUCAUAGUUGUAGGUUCUGGGAUGUUGUAGCUCUGAUCAGCUCGCUGCAUCCCUCAGGAUUUCUUUUUUCUUUUUUUUGUAGCCCUUCUUGGUGUCAUCACUCCCCUAAUAAUUAAUUGUUCCUCAUCUGGGACUGUCUCCUCCUUUUUUCUGCUUUCAACGUCUCAGCCUGUUUGUCAUCUGGUCGCUCUGUGCUAUUUCGGUAUCUCUCCGUACAAACACUUGCAUCCAUCCAUUUGUAAUCUAAUAAAGAAAUGGCAGCAAUCUGUGUGUUCCUUUUGGGGGACUGGAUGACUUUGAGCACCAGAUGCUGAUGUUCCCCCAGAGUCGUUACCGUGAUGGAGCCGAUCCUUAACUGUCUCCAAUAAAGACACCCUCUUUCUCUCUCUCUCACACACGCACACAAAGAUACACACACCACCUCCUCUCGCUCACUCAGUGUGGAGGCAGGAUUAACCUGCUGGUAGCGGGGUAAAUCCAGCACUGCCUCUGCCUCUCUGUCUCUGUGUCUGAGGAGGCCUGGUUAUCCCUUCACACAAGCUCCCUGUUCAAAGGGGAGGCCGCCAGGGAUUAAUGAUGUGUUAAAGGGGCGAGCAUGGGGGAUUUAGAUGCUGCUUGCUGUAAGGACAGGAGAUUUAGGAACACGGACCAGUGGUUAGUGCUCACUGAAGUAUGAUUAGUUGGACAGUGUACCCCAAAGUGCACGACCACUCGCACGCACAACACAUGCACACACACACAAUGACAGACAGGUGUUAUAUUAUUAUCCUAUAAAGCCAGAGGAUGGUGUGGCAGUGAAAGGACAAUAGCACUGUGCUUGUCUUAUAGUAAAUAUACCGCUGUAGCUUUGCUAACCUAUGGGAAACAGAAGAAGCCAAGAGCAACAUGAAGACCAUGAUGUCCUCAUAAUAAUAAACCAGUUAACAUUAUAACUCGCCCACUCCUCUUGAUCCUGGAGUGGAUCAUUCAUCAGUGGUAGUAUCUCCACACCUGGACUAGCAGCUUUCGGUUACAUGAUAUACUCAUACUCUUUGCAUCAUUGGUAAUGUAGUUACCAUAACUCAAAGUUUGGACUUUUGCAGGAUGAGUAUUCGUGUCAUCAGAGUUAAGGUUGCAUUGGCUGUUGCUUGCAGAACACAACACUUGAAUCAUUUUGUUGCAUUAUGGGUACAAUAGUUGCCAAUUUUUAACAAAAAAGAGAGAUUAUUAUCAUAUUACUCAAAUUGUUGCUACGAUUUAAAAGCAUUUAUGUGUUCAUCCUCUUUCAAACAGAAACUGGACAUUUUGAGUGCAGUACAGUUCCAAGAGUUCAGCGUUAAAUCUGCAGUGAAUUGUUCUAAAAUCUGACUCAAACGUUCACGUUAUGCAUUGCGUGUGUGUAAGUGCAUGGAUGUUAAAGUUAGUUAUUGUGGGGGCGUAUAACAUUAAAGAUCAGUGGAUAAUGUAGGAAGUUGUGUGUGUCUGUGUGUGUCUGUGUGUGUGUGAAAGGGGAGUGAGAGCAGAAAGGAUGGAGGACUGAACAGAGAGAGCUGCAGUGAGAUGAAGAGACAUAUGUACAGGUGCUGAUAGCCGGUCGGGAUCAGUGCACAGAGCAAGAUGUUAAGGCUGGGUUUUUCAACUGCUCCCCACUCUCCACCUCCACCUCAGUCAAGCCUUCCUCACACCAUCUUAAUCCCCCUUCCUCGAUAAACCACUUGGCCCCCCAUACACAAGCACACGAAUCCA